Molecule: ribosomal RNA, 467 nt
Filed under: uncultured bacterium
Lineage: Bacteria
Description: SSU rRNA
Rfam family: Bacterial small subunit ribosomal RNA
Source: RNAcentral
AGAAUCAACGCUGGCGGCGUGCCUAACACAUGCAAGUCGAACGAGAAAGUGGAGCAAUCCAUGAGUAAAGUGGCGCACGGGUGAGUAACACGUGACUAACCUACCCUUGAGUGGGGGAUAACCUAGGGAAACCUGGGCUAAUACCGCAUAAUACCCACGGGUCAAAGCAGUAAUGCGCUUGGAGAGGAGUUCGCGGCAGAUUAGCUGGUUGGCGGGGUAAUGGCCCACCAAGGCGAUGAUCUGUAUCCGGCCUGAGAGGGCGCGACCGGAACGCGACCUGGAACGUGAAACACGGUCCAGACUCCUACGGGAGGCAGCAGUGGGGAAUUUUGCGCAAUGGGGGAAACCCUGACGCAGCAACGCCGCGUGGAGGAUGAAGCCCCUUGGGGUGUAAACUCCGUUUCGAUCGGGAAGAUAAUGACGGUACCGAUAUAAGAAGCCCCGGCUAACUUCGUGCCAGCAGCCGC